AGAGUUUGAUCAUUGCUCAGAUUGGACGCUGGCGGCAGGCUUUACACAUGCCAGUCGGACGGUACAGGGAGGAGCCUGCUUUUUUGCUGACGAGUGGCGGACGGUUGAGUAAUGCUGGGGAUCUUGCUCAUGGAGGGGGAUUACUACGGGAAACUGUAGCUAAUACCGCGUAGUAUCGGAAGAUGAAAGUGUGGGACCGCAAGGCCACAUGCCAUGAGAUGAGCCCAAGUGGGAUUAGGUAGUUGGUUAGGUAAAGGCUGACCAAGCCGACGAUCUCUAGCUGGUCUGAGAGGAUGACCAGCCACACUGGAACUGAGACACGGUCCAGACUCCUACGGGAGGCAGCAGUGGGGAAUAUUGCACAAUGGGGGAAACCCUGAUGCAGCCAUGCCGCGUGAAUGAAGAAGGCCUUCGGGUUGUAAAGUUCUUUCGGUGAUGAGGAAGGUGUUUGUUUUAAUAGGACAAGCAAUUGACGUUAGUCACAGAAGAAGCACCGGCUAACUCCGUGCCAGCAGCCGCGGUAAUACGGAGGGUGCGAGCGUUAAUCGGAAUAACUGGGCGUAAAGGGCACGCAGGCGGUGACUUAAGUGAGAUGUGAAAGCCCCGAGCUUAACUUGGGAAUUGCAUUUCAUACUGGGUCGCUAGAGUACUUUAGGGAGGGGUAGAAUUCCACGUGUAGCGGUGAAAUGCGUAGAGAUGUGGAGGAAUACCGAAGGCGAAGGCAGCCCCUUGGGAAUGUACUGACGCUCAUGUGCGAAAGCGUGGGGAGCAAACAGGAUUAGAUACCCUGGUAGUCCACGCUGUAAACGCUGUCGAUUUGGGGAUUGGGUUUUAUGCUUGGUGCCCGUAGCU
Molecule: ribosomal RNA, 852 nt
Filed under: uncultured bacterium
Lineage: Bacteria
Description: bacterial SSU rRNA
Rfam family: Bacterial small subunit ribosomal RNA
Source: RNAcentral